This is a non-coding RNA of Cinara cedri, 482 nucleotides long. The record is from the annotation of a GenBank genome assembly. NCBI's taxonomy places the organism in Eukaryota, Metazoa, Arthropoda, Insecta, Hemiptera, Aphididae.
AUUUUCUGUUUUUAUAUUCUGUAAUUCAAAAUAUGUAGGUAGGUAUAAUAUAAUAUUUUUAAUUUUCAUUUCAACAUUCAGCUUGUGAAAUAGAUUUUUCAAAAUAAUAUAGUGAAAUCAUUUAUUUGAUAACCUGGAUAUCCAGAUAGUGAAAUUCGUCCAGAUUAUGAAUUUUGACGAAAAAACAUUAUAUGAAUAUGCAUUUUAUAAAAUAAAUCUAUACCUAAUGUAAUGUGUAAUUAUUAUAAAAAAAAAAUUUUUUUUUUAUAUAUAGCAAUAAAUAAUUAUAUUAUGUCAUAGAAAACUAUACUUUUCUAUAUUGUUUUAUGAACAAAAAUAUAACAAUUAUAGUCAAAAAAUUAUAUUAUUUAACAUUUUAUUUUUCAUAAACCAUGCUUAUAUUGUUUUAUUAAUAAAAUAAUUAAUAGAUUGAUUAAUUUAUUAUUUGGUAUUUAAUUUAUUCAACUUAAAUAUUAUAAUUC